Molecule: transfer RNA, 58 nt
Filed under: Cricetulus griseus (Chinese hamster)
Lineage: Eukaryota; Metazoa; Chordata; Mammalia; Rodentia; Cricetidae
Rfam family: tRNA
About the family: Transfer RNA (tRNA) molecules are approximately 80 nucleotides in length. Their secondary structure includes four short double-helical elements and three loops (D, anti-codon, and T loops). Further hydrogen bonds mediate the characteristic L-shaped molecular structure. tRNAs have two regions of fundamental functional importance: the anti-codon, which is responsible for specific mRNA codon recognition, and the 3' end, to which the tRNAs corresponding amino acid is attached (by aminoacyl-tRNA synthetases). tRNAs cope with the degeneracy of the genetic code in two manners: having more than one tRNA (with a specific anti-codon) for a particular amino acid; and 'wobble' base-pairing, i.e. permitting non-standard base-pairing at the 3rd anti-codon position.
Source: Rfam by way of RNAcentral
UGGCUUAGUGGUUAAGAGCACUGGCUGCUCUUCCAGAGUACCUGGGUUCAAUUCCCAG